UAAUUCCGUGCCAGCAGCCGCGGUAAUACGGAAGGUGCAAGCGUUAUCCGGUUUUAUUGGGUUUAAAGGGUGCGUAGGCGGCUUAUUAAGUCAGUUGUGAAAUCCUAGUGCUUAACGCUAGAACUGCAAUUGAUACUAUUAGGCUUGAGUUAAGAAUAGGUAAGUAGAAUUUAUGGUGUAGUAGUGAAAUGCUUGGAUAUCAUAAGGAAUACCAAUAGCGUAGGCAGCUUACUGGUCUUUAACUGACGCUGAGGCACGAAAGCGUGGGGAGCAAACAGGAUUAGAUACCCUGGUAGUCCACGCCGUAAACGAUGAUCACUCGGUAUACAUAAAUUUAUGUGUGUCUAAG
Molecule: ribosomal RNA, 349 nt
Filed under: Cardinium endosymbiont of Spodoptera frugiperda
Lineage: Bacteria; Pseudomonadati; Bacteroidota; Cytophagia; Cytophagales; Amoebophilaceae
Description: bacterial SSU rRNA
Rfam family: Bacterial small subunit ribosomal RNA
Source: RNAcentral